GGAAGUAAAAGUUGUAACAAGGUUUCCGUAGGUGAACCUGCGGAAGGAUCAUUCAUAAUAAGUGUUUUACUGCACUUUUUAAAAAUAGUACUCACCUUGUGUGCAAUGUUGUGUUUCUUUUCGGAGAAACACCUACACCAACCUAUAACCUUGAACCACUUUGUCUGAAAAACUAUUAUGAAUACUUAAUUCAAAAUACAACUUUCAACAACGGAUCUCUUGGCUCUC
Molecule: unclassified non-coding RNA, 228 nt
Filed under: plant metagenome
Description: partial contains small subunit ribosomal RNA, internal transcribed spacer 1, and 5.8S ribosomal RNA
Rfam family: Eukaryotic small subunit ribosomal RNA (bases 1-54)
Source: RNAcentral